RNAcentral lists this long non-coding RNA (812 nucleotides) under Androctonus crassicauda. Lineage: Eukaryota; Metazoa; Arthropoda; Arachnida; Scorpiones; Buthidae. The record is from RNAcentral.
UAUACAUUAUAGUAAAAGUAAGUAAUCUAGUGAUUAUGCGUAAUCGCCGGUUAUUGUAUAUAAUCACCAAUGAUUUUGGUAAAAGUGAUAAAUUUUUCAUAUAUUGCAAAUUUAUCACAUCAGAUAUUAUGCAUAAUUGCCAAUAUAGGAUGGUAAAUUUGAUUAAUAAUGCAUUAUUGAUAAGUAAUGAAGUAGUUCUCUGCAUUCAUCAUCAUUUAUGUAGUAAAUUUGAUUUUAAGUAGUCAAAGUAAAUAAGAUUUCAUUCGGUUCAAGAAAUAAUUACAAAUGAAGGUGGAGAAAUUAGAGUUGACAUUCGGAUAAAGACAUCUAUAACAGGCCCGGCCUCAGAUGGGCAAGCUGGAGGUGGUUGCCGGCUGCCAUACAAAGCUGUAAAAGACCCACAACCGAAAACUACAUGAGAAUUAAAGGAAAAAUGAAUAAGCUUUUGUGCAGAAAUGCAACUUAUUCAUUUUUCCCUUUAAUUAAAAAAAUUAAAGGGAAUUAAAUUUGCAAUAUAAAAUUAUACAUAAUGCAGUAGGCUAAUUGCUGCUUUUUAUCCAGGGCAUUGGCUAACAUUCUGUUGGAUCCAUCCAUACAUUCAAAUUGAAACUAAUAAAAAAGUAUUUAUGAUCACACUAGCUGCAACCCGCAAAUUUUUGCGCUUGAUUUUUUAAUAUUUAUUUUUGUGAUAAGGUAAAAUAAACAAAAUACAUUUAUAUAUAUACAAAUCUACAUAAGUGAAAAUCAAGAAAUAAAAUAAUCACAGAUAGAAAAAUGCUGAUAAAUUAAACAAUAAAUCAGUAGCCACAUAA